RNAcentral lists this ribosomal RNA (253 nucleotides) under uncultured bacterium. Its description in RNAcentral is "partial 16S ribosomal RNA". It matches the Rfam family "Bacterial small subunit ribosomal RNA", at positions 524 to 776 of the family's 1533-position model. The record is from RNAcentral.
GACGAACCGUACGAACGUUAUUCGGAAUCACUGGGCUUAAAGGGUGCGUAGGCGGUGCGGACAGUUGGGUGUGAAAUACCUCAGCUUAACUGAGGAACUGCGCCCAAAACUACCGUGCUCGAGGGAGACAGAGGUGAGCGGAACUUAGGGUGGAGCGGUGAAAUGCGUUGAUAUCCUAAGGAACACCGGUGGCGAAAGCGGCUCACUGGGUCUCUUCUGACGCUGAGGCACGAAAGCUAGGGUAGCGAACGGG